UUUUCUUCAAAAUCUUCAGCCACAGUGCACAGGUUCUCAGGGUAAAAUGAGGGAUACAACGCGAUGAGAAAACAAUGUAUUAUUUUCUUACCUUCAAGUGUAACUGGAAGAUGCUGUGUUUUGACCAAUCCUGGUCUUUAUUUCUCCAAGUGAUUUUGCUUUCUCUGCUGGGAUGGCCUAAGUCAAUUACCCUUCUCUCCCUGAGGCGUUGUUUAUCUUCAUUCUUGGAAGAAAAGAAUUCAUAGUCUCCUCCAGCAAAAUUGCCAAUCUGCUUGAAACUAUUGCGCUUUCCAUGGAUACUGAAAUGCACUCUCCACGGGAGAUCUGGAGUUGAGGGUCAAGAUCACCUAUAAAUGUUGCCCAGGGAUUAUGCUCAGAAAAAUUCCUCCUUCCUUUAAGUUUUUGAGAAAGAACCUGAUUCGGCUAGAAAUUCAAACCCAGGAUGGACUAUCAGAAAUUGCUGAUAAGCUUUUACUGAGAAUAAAAUUUUACAGUUUAAAUGUUGGCCCUUUGGGAUCACUCAUCCAAUGCCCUCGUUUUAUUAAUGAGGAAAUCAAGGUCCAGAGAUAUGAGUGACAUGCCCAAAGUCUCGAUGUUAGAGUGGAAGAAAACCAUGAACUUGGACCUUCUCAUUCCUUUCCCAGUAUUGUGCCUGUAUUACUGUUCCAGUUUUCGUGGUGUCCUGGGAGCCCUUCAGAGGUUUGCCAUCAAGAUUUGAUGAAGUUGUAAGUGUAUGCCCCUAAUAAAUGAGGAUAUAUACUGUCAUC
This 767-nucleotide long non-coding RNA is filed under the name Equus asinus (donkey). RNAcentral describes it as "lncRNA (ENSEASG00005029626.1)". Lineage: Eukaryota; Metazoa; Chordata; Mammalia; Perissodactyla; Equidae. The record is from RNAcentral.